RNAcentral lists this ribosomal RNA (235 nucleotides) under uncultured Lactobacillus sp. RNAcentral describes it as "partial 16S ribosomal RNA". It matches the Rfam family "Bacterial small subunit ribosomal RNA", at positions 128 to 355 of the family's 1533-position model. The record is from RNAcentral. Lineage: Bacteria; Bacillati; Bacillota; Bacilli; Lactobacillales; Lactobacillaceae.
GCCCAAUAGAUCGGGAUAACACCUGGAAACAGAUGCUAAUACCGGAUAACAACAGAUGAUGCCUAUCAACUGUUUAAAAGAUGGUUCUGCUAUCACUCUUGGAUGGACCUGCGGUGCAUUAGCUAGUUGGUAGGGUAACGGCCUACCAAGGCGAUGAUGCAUAGCCGAGUUGAGAGACUGAUCGGCCACAUUGGGACUGAGACACGGCCCAAACUCCCUACGGGAGGCAGCAGCA